GAUCAAGUGUCUUAAGGGCAAUUGGUGGAUGCCUUGGCAUGCACAGGCGAUGAAGGACGUGAUACGCUGCGAUAAGCUACGGGGAGGUGCGAAUACCCUUUGAUCCGUAGAUUUCCGAAUGGGGAAACCCACCUAAGGUGCUUGGAAAAUCAGAGCAGCAGGGCAACUUGCUGCUGUGGUUUCCAAGUAUCUGUUAUAGGUAACUUAUCCUGAAUACAUAGGGAUAAAGUGGCGAACGCGGGGAACUGAAACAUCUAAGUACCCGUAGGAAAGGACAUCAACCGAGACUCCGGCAGUAGUGGCGAGCGAACCCGGACCAGGCCAGUGGCGAUGAUGAGACAAGCGGAACCUUCUGGAAAGUAGGGCCAUAGUGGGUGACAGCCCCGUACGCGUAAUGCAAGUCAUCGUCCUCGAGUAAGGCGGGACACGUGAAAUCCUGUCUGAAAUUGGGGGGACCACCCUCCAAGCCUAAGUACUCGUGCAUGACCGAUAGCGAACUAGUACCGUGAGGGAAAGGUGAAAAGCACCCCGACAAGGGGAGUGAAAGAGUACCUGAAACCGAUUGCCUACAAACAGUGGGAGUCCAAGGUUCGUCCUGGGUGACCACGUACCUUUUGUAUAAUGGGUCAGCGACUUAGUGUGACGAGCAAGCUUAAACCGCUAGGUGUAGGCGCAGCGAAAGCGAGUCUGAACAGGGCGUUCAGUUCGUCGCAUUAGACCCGAAACCGAGUGAUCUAGCCAUGAGCAGGUUGAAGGUAAGGUAACACUUACUGGAGGACCGAACCCAUAACUGUUGCAAUAGUUCGGGAUGACUUGUGGCUAGGGGUGAAAGGCCAAUCAAACUCGGAAAUAGCUGGUUCUCCGCGAAAUCUAUUUAGGUAGAGCGUCGACCGAAUACCCCAGGGGGUAGAGCACUGGAUGGGCUAGGGGUCCUCACCGGAUUACCAAACCUAACCAAACUCCGAAUACCUGGGAGUACUAGUCGGCAGACACACGGCGGGUGCUAACGUCCGUCGUGAAAAGGGAAACAACCCUGACCUACAGCUAAGGUCCCCAAGUUAUGGCUAAGUGGGAAAGGAUGUGAGGAUCCCAAAACAACCAGGAUGUUGGCUUAGAAGCAGCCAUCAUUUAAAGAAAGCGUAACAGCUCACUGGUCUAAAUAAGGGUCUUUGCGCCGAAAAUGUAACGGGGCUCAAGCCAUACACCGAAGCUUAGGGUUCGUGAGCAAUCACGAGCGGUAGCGGAGCGUUCUGUAAGCUGAUGAAGCCAUACCCGUGAGGGGUGGUGGAGGUAUCAGAAGUGCGAAUGCUGACAUGAGUAACGUAAGGGGAGUGAGAGACUCCCCCGCCGAAAGUCCAAGGGUUCCUGCUUAAAGCUAAUCUGAGCAGGGUUAGCCGGCCCCUAAGUCGAGGCAGAAAUGCGUAGACGAUGGGAACCACGUUAAUAUUCGUGGGCCUGGAGGAAGUGACGGAUCAUUGAGGUAGUCCAAUCUUAUCGGAUUGAAAGGGCUGCUGCGUGGUUCCAGGAAAUAGCUCCUCCUUAUAGACCGUACCCGAAACCGACACUGGUGGACUGGUAGAGUAUACCAAGGCGCUUGAGAGAACUAUGCUGAAGGAACUCGGCAAAUUGCACGCGUAACUUCGGAAGAAGCGUGACCCUUUUCCACGCAAGUGGAGGAGGGUGGCACAGACCAGGGGGUAGCGACUGUUUAUCAAAAACACAGGGCUCUGCGAAGUCGCAAGACGACGUAUAGGGUCUGACGCCUGCCCGGUGCUGGAAGGUUAAGAGGAGGGGUGCAAGCUCUGAAUCGAAGCCCCAGUAAACGGCGGCCGUAACUAUAACGGUCCUAAGGUAGCGAAAUUCCUUGUCGGGUAAGUUCCGACCUGCACGAAUGGCGUAACGACUUCCCCGCUGUCUCCAGCAUAGACUCAGUGAAAUUGAAUUCCCCGUGAAGAUGCGGGGUUCCUGCGGUUAGACGGAAAGACCCCGUGCACCUUUACUAUAGCUUUACAUUGGCAUUCGUAGUGGCAUGUGUAGGAUAGGUGGUAGGCUUUGAAACCUGGGCGCCAGCUCAGGUGGAGCCACCCUUGAAAUACCACCCUUAUCACUAUGGAUGUCUAACCGCGGCCCGUUAUCCGGGUCCGGGACAAUGUAUGGUGGGUAGUUUGACUGGGGCGGUCGCCUCCUAAAGAGUAACGGAGGCGCGCGAUGGUGGGCUCAGAACGGUCGGAAAUCGUUCGCUGAGUGCAAUGGCAUAAGCCUGCCUGACUGCGAGACUGACAAGUCGAGCAGAGACGAAAGUCGGUCAUAGUGAUCCGGUGGUCCCGCGUGGAAGGGCCAUCGCUCAACGGAUAAAAGGUACGCCGGGGAUAACAGGCUGAUGACCCCCAAGAGUCCAUAUCGACGGGGUUGUUUGGCACCUCGAUGUCGACUCAUCGCAUCCUGGGGCUGGAGCAGGUCCCAAGGGUAUGGCUGUUCGCCAUUUAAAGCGGUACGUGAGUUGGGUUCAGAACGUCGUGAGACAGUUCGGUCCCUAUCUGCCGUGGGUGUAGGAAUAUUGAAAGGAUCUGUCCCUAGUACGAGAGGACCGGGAUGGACGGAUCUCUGGUGGACCUGUUGUGGCGCCAGCCGCAUAGCAGGGUAGCUAUAUCCGGACGGGAUAACCGCUGAAGGCAUCUAAGCGGGAAACCCACCUUAAAACGAGUAUUCCCUGAGAACCGUGGAAGACGACCACGUUGAUAGGCCGGGUGUGGAAGAGCGGCAACGCUUGAAGCUUACCGGUACUAAUAGUUCGAUCGGCUUGAUCGUUCUCAUU
Molecule: ribosomal RNA, 2815 nt
Filed under: Mesorhizobium temperatum
Lineage: Bacteria; Pseudomonadati; Pseudomonadota; Alphaproteobacteria; Hyphomicrobiales; Phyllobacteriaceae
Description: bacterial LSU rRNA
Rfam family: Bacterial large subunit ribosomal RNA
Source: RNAcentral